UGAACGCUGGCGGCGUGCCUAACACAUGCAAGUCGACGAAGCACUGGAAGCGGAGAUCGUCAAAGUUCCUUGACUUAGUGGCGGACGGGUGAGUAAUGUGUGAGGCAACCUGCCUUUCAGAGGGGGAACAACAGUUGGAAACGACUGCUAAUACCGCAUAAUGUAUUGAUGGGGCAUCCUGUUGAUACCAAAGGAGCAAUCCGCUGAAAGAUGGGCUCACAUCUGAUUAGCUAGUUGGUAGGGUAACGGCCUACCAAGGCUGCGAUCAGUAGCCGGACUGAGAGGUUGAACGGCCACAUUGGGACUGAGAUACGGCCCAGACUCCUACGGGAGGCAGCAGGUGGGGAAUAUUGGGCAAUGGGCGAAAGCCUCGACCCAGCAACGCCGCGUAGAAGGAAGAAGGUCUUCGGAUUAGUAAACUUCUUUAUGAGGGACGAAGGACGUGACGGUACCUCAUGAAUAAGCCACGGCUAACUACGUGCCAGCCGCAGC
This 492-nucleotide ribosomal RNA is filed under the name uncultured bacterium. RNAcentral describes it as "bacterial SSU rRNA". It matches the Rfam family "Bacterial small subunit ribosomal RNA", at positions 30 to 518 of the family's 1533-position model. The record is from RNAcentral.